AUUGAACGCUGGCGGCAGGCCUAACACAUGCAAGUCGAGCGAGCGGCGGACGGGUGAGUGCUUUCUGGGGGCUGCGCGAUAGGGGGGGAUAACUACUGUAAACGUUGGCUAAUACCGCAUACUAUAUGAUACCCCCUAUGGGAUUAGCUAGUAGGUGAGGUAAUGGCGCACCUAGGCGACGAUCCCUAUCUGUUCUGCGAGGAUGAUCAGCCACACUGGGACGGAGAAACGGACCAGACUCUGACGGAGGAAGUAGUGGGGAAUAUUGCACAAUGGGCGCAAGCCUGAUGAAGCCAUGACGCGUGUAUGAAGAAGGCCUUAGGGUUGUAAAGUACUUUCAGUCGGGAGGCGUUACUGACAGAAGAAGCACCGGCUAACUCCGUGCCAGCAGCCGCGGUAAUAC
This 403-nucleotide ribosomal RNA is filed under the name uncultured bacterium. RNAcentral describes it as "partial 16S ribosomal RNA". It matches the Rfam family "Bacterial small subunit ribosomal RNA", at positions 30 to 526 of the family's 1533-position model. The record is from RNAcentral.